This 459-nucleotide ribosomal RNA is filed under the name uncultured bacterium. RNAcentral's name for it is "bacterial SSU rRNA". It matches the Rfam family "Bacterial small subunit ribosomal RNA", at positions 29 to 524 of the family's 1533-position model. The record is from RNAcentral.
AACGAACGCUGGCGGCAUGCCUAACACAUGCAAGUCGAACGGGAUCCUAGCUUGCUAGGUGAGAGUGGCGGACGGGUGAGUAACACGUGGGAAUCUGCCUUUUGGUUCGGGAUAACCGCGGGAAACUGCGGCUAAUACCGAAUGCCCUCGUGAGAGGAAAGAUUUAUCGCCAGAAGAGGAGCCCGCGUCCGAUUAGGUAGUUGGUGGGGUAAAGGCCUACCAAGCCGACGAUCGGUAGCUGGUCUGAGAGGAUGAUCAGCCACACUGGGACUGAGAUACGGCCCAGACUCCUACAGGAGGCAGCAGUGGGGAAUAUUGGACAAUGGGGGCGAACCCUGAUCCAGCAAUGCCGCGUGAGUGAUGAAGGCCUUAGGGUUGUAAAGCUCUUUUGCCAGGGAAGAUGAUGACUGUACCUGGAGAAUAAGCCCCGGCUAACUUCGUGCCAGCAGCCGCGGUAAU